RNAcentral lists this ribosomal RNA (685 nucleotides) under Pseudomonas sp. UFLA02-281. RNAcentral's name for it is "bacterial SSU rRNA". It matches the Rfam family "Bacterial small subunit ribosomal RNA", at positions 107 to 788 of the family's 1533-position model. The record is from RNAcentral. Lineage: Bacteria; Pseudomonadati; Pseudomonadota; Gammaproteobacteria; Pseudomonadales; Pseudomonadaceae.
UGAGUAAUGCCUAGGAAUCUGCCUGGUAGUGGGGGACAACGUUUCGAAAGGAACGCUAAUACCGCAUACGUCCUACGGGAGAAAGCAGGGGACCUUCGGGCCUUGCGCUAUCAGAUGAGCCUAGGUCGGAUUAGCUAGUAGGUGAGGUAAUGGCUCACCUAGGCGACGAUCCGUAACUGGUCUGAGAGGAUGAUCAGUCACACUGGAACUGAGACACGGUCCAGACUCCUACGGGAGGCAGCAGUGGGGAAUAUUGGACAAUGGGCGAAAGCCUGAUCCAGCCAUGCCGCGUGUGUGAAGAAGGUCUUCGGAUUGUAAAGCACUUUAAGUUGGGAGGAAGGGCAGUAAGUUAAUACCUUGCUGUUUUGACGUUACCGACAGAAUAAGCACCGGCUAACUCUGUGCCAGCAGCCGCGGUAAUACAGAGGGUGCAAGCGUUAAUCGGAAUUACUGGGCGUAAAGCGCGCGUAGGUGGUUCGUUAAGUUGGAUGUGAAAGCCCCGGGCUCAACCUGGGAACUGCAUCCAAAACUGGCGAGCUAGAGUAUGGUAGAGGGUGGUGGAAUUUCCUGUGUAGCGGUGAAAUGCGUAGAUAUAGGAAGGAACACCAGUGGCGAAGGCGACCACCUGGACUGAUACUGACACUGAGGUGCGAAAGCGUGGGGAGCAAACAGGAUUAGAUACCCU